GUUGCCGCUGCCCAGGUGAGUGCCGAGCCGGCGUCUACGGUGGCAUGUCAGAUACGCGUGGGGCUGUGGCAUGGAUGGCAUCUGACCCCUCCGUCUUCACAUCACACCCCACAGUCGAGUGACAGUGACCAACCCACAGAGACCCUCGGUUCCUCCAACAAGUCACGGUCCCCCAGCCCUGGCGGCCUGGGGCCUCCCCGUCCUCCAUGGGAUGCGCCCGGCUAAAUGCCAUCCUUCUGCGCACUCCGCCUGGGGCCCUGAGGCAGUGAGCCAGAAAUGCUGGGGUGCCCAGUGGACUGGACAUGCCCACAUGCCCCCUCAACCGUCCCGCUGGGCUGUCCCGGCUGGAGCCCAGGGCCUUGUCCCCAACGCUUCCUGGACGAGGCCUGGUCUGUGGUUUCUGUGGCCCAGAGGACUUCACACGGGCCUGAGCUGCUCCAUCCUGACCACCUGCAGGUCACAGGUCACCAGGGGCCGCGGUGACCUGGCCGCCUCCACGUGGUGGGGGUUUUUGGCCUUCCUGGGAGUGGUGUAGUGCCGCCGGACCACCUUCUGCCAUCAAUGCACCUGCGACCCGGCUGGGACCUCGCAGGACGUGCCCCCAUGGCCCACGCGAGAGCCAGGAGAAAGCCCUGAAUGAGGAACAGGGAUCCAGCUGGGAGGGGGCAGAGGGGCCCUAGGCGGAGGCAGAGGGAGAGUGGCCGGAAGGAACGUGAUGGCUGUGAAGCUCCAGCCCCGAGCCUCCAGCUUGGGAGGGUCAGUGGAGACGGAAGAGAAGGAAACCAGCCAGGGCGCUGGGCCGAGGGCGCUUCCCACGGCCCCGAGUCAGGCUGAGCGCAUGUGGGCAGGGGGACAGGCAGGGACGGAGAGCCACGGGGCCGCGUCGAUGACCCAGAAGAGCCGUGGCUGCUCAGACCUCACACCUGGCGCAGGUGAAGCGCGGACAAGACAAGGAAAAGCCAAGACGGCCCCCCGUGCUCGGCCCCGACCCGCCCAGCGCCCGGGUCCAGAGCGACGUCUGGGUCCUGUCCUCCCACCACAGCUCAGCCCGAUGCUCAGCAAAGCCUUUGUCGCCAGAUACGCGUCAGAGACAGGCCGCCAGGGAGCAGGGGGACCUGAAGCCCCUCCGGGCCCACGUCCUCCCUGGAAGCCGGGUCUGGGCAUGGAGGGUUCAAGCCCCCCAGCCAUCCCCUCCUGUCCCCCAGCGCCGGUGCCAAAGUCAGCAUCGAGCGGAAGGAGCGCGGCCUUAUCUGUGGCUCUGUUUUCCUUGCGGCUCGCGCGCCCCGCUGGCUGCACACUCUCCCC
Molecule: long non-coding RNA, 1305 nt
Filed under: Sus scrofa (pig)
Lineage: Eukaryota; Metazoa; Chordata; Mammalia; Artiodactyla; Suidae
Description: lncRNA (ENSSSCG00050031645.1)
Source: RNAcentral